Molecule: ribosomal RNA, 253 nt
Filed under: uncultured bacterium
Lineage: Bacteria
Description: partial 16S ribosomal RNA
Rfam family: Bacterial small subunit ribosomal RNA
Source: RNAcentral
UACGGGGGGGGCAAGCGUUGUUCGGAAUUACUGGGCGUAAAGGGCUCGUAGGCGGCCAACUAAGUCAGACGUGAAAUCCCUCGGCUUAACCGGGGAACUGCGUCUGAUACUGGAUGGCUUGAGUUUGGGAGAGGGAUGCGGAAUUCCAGGUGUAGCGGUGAAAUGCGCAGAUAUCAGGAGGAACACCGAUGGCGAAGGCAGGUCUCUGGGCCAUAACUGACGCUGAGAAGCGAAAGCAUGGGGAGCGAACAGG